Long non-coding RNA from Mytilus californianus (California mussel), 339 nucleotides. RefSeq lists it as uncharacterized. The record is from RefSeq and is a predicted model, not a curated record. NCBI's taxonomy places the organism in Eukaryota, Metazoa, Mollusca, Bivalvia, Mytilida, Mytilidae. The transcript has 4 exons.
GUAAAAUAAUAAAUUUUGAAAUCAUGAGACCAGCAAAUAUAUUUACGACAAUGCAGGUUUCCUGGGAACAGCCUUUAUUACGAGAAAAGAACGGAAUCAUUAGAGACUAUAAAAUAAGCCAUAACAUCAGUGGGACAACAACAGUUGAAACUAUAACUGCAGAUUCUGAGAUGUUCCGAAAAUUAUAUUACAUUACACCAGAUAGAUAUUAUCAGAUCGAGCUGUAUGCAGUUAACACAAUAGAUCAAGCUGGAGAAAAAUUGCGGAAAAUAUAUUUUGCGUCAUCAAAAAGUAAUUCACAAUUGUCAGAUACAGGAUAUUCAAUUGGAACAGUAGUGG